UACGGAAGGGGCGAGCGCUGUUCGGAUUCAUUGGGCGUAAAGGGUGCGUAGGUGGCGCGCUAAGUCGGGUGUGAAAUUUCGGAGCUUAACUCCGAAACUGCAUUCGAUACUGGUGUGCUUGAGGACUGGAGAGGAGACUGGAAUUCAUGGUGUAGCAGUGAAAUGCGUAGAGAUCAUGAGGAAGACCAGUGGCGAAGGCGGGUCUCUGGACAGUUCCUGACACUGAGGCACGAAGGCCAGGGGAGCAAACGGG
This 253-nucleotide ribosomal RNA is filed under the name uncultured bacterium. Its description in RNAcentral is "partial 16S ribosomal RNA". It matches the Rfam family "Bacterial small subunit ribosomal RNA", at positions 524 to 776 of the family's 1533-position model. The record is from RNAcentral.